Small nuclear RNA from Jaculus jaculus (lesser Egyptian jerboa), 161 nucleotides. Its record names the gene U1. It matches the Rfam family "U1 spliceosomal RNA". From Rfam's summary of the family: U1 is a small nuclear RNA (snRNA) component of the spliceosome (involved in pre-mRNA splicing). Lineage: Eukaryota; Metazoa; Chordata; Mammalia; Rodentia; Dipodidae. The record is from Ensembl.
GUUCUUACCUGGCAGGGGAGAUGCCAUGAUCACAAAGGUGGUAUUCCCAGGUCAAAGCUUAUCCAAUGCAUUCCAGAUGUGCUGACCCCUGUGAUUUCCCCAAAUGUGGGAAACUUGAUUGUAUAAUUUGUGGUAGUGAGGGACUGCAUUCUCAUCCCUCC